GCCGGGGUGGCCGAGUGGUCUAAGGCGGUGGGCUCGAGACCCACUGCCCCUAUGCGGGGCGCGCGGGUUCAAAUCCCGCCCCCGGCGCCA
This 90-nucleotide transfer RNA is filed under the name Thermoprotei archaeon. RNAcentral's name for it is "tRNA-Ser". It matches the Rfam family "tRNA". Rfam says of the family: Transfer RNA (tRNA) molecules are approximately 80 nucleotides in length. Their secondary structure includes four short double-helical elements and three loops (D, anti-codon, and T loops). Lineage: Archaea; Thermoproteati; Thermoproteota; Thermoprotei. The record is from RNAcentral.